This 443-nucleotide ribosomal RNA is filed under the name uncultured bacterium. RNAcentral describes it as "bacterial SSU rRNA". It matches the Rfam family "Bacterial small subunit ribosomal RNA", at positions 354 to 796 of the family's 1533-position model. The record is from RNAcentral.
GUGAGGAAUUUUGGUCAAUGGGGGAAACCCUGAACCAGCGACGCCGCGUGCGGGAUGAAGGGGCUUUGCCCUGUAAACCGCUGUCGGGAGGGAGGAAAAGCCUGGUUUCCAGGCUGGGACUGUACCUCCAAAGGAAGGAUCGGCUAACUACGUGCCAGCAGCCGCGGUAAUACGUAGGAUCCAAGCGUUGUCCGGAUUUACUGGGUGUAAAGGGUGCGCAGGCGGACUUGUGCGUCAGGGGUUAAAUCCAUCGGCUCAACCGAUGAACUGCCCUUGAUACGGCAAGCCUGGAGUGCGAGAGAGGAUGGUAGAAUUCCUGGUGUAGCGGUGAAAUGCGUAGAUAUCAGGAGGAAUACCAGUGGCGAAGGCGGCCAUCUGGCUCGCAACUGACGCUCAGGCACGAAAGCGUGGGGAGCAAACAGGAUUAGAUACCCGUGUAGUCC